GAGAUGAGUAUNCGUCUAUUAGCUAGUAGGUGUGGUAACGGCACACCUAGGCUACGAUAGAUAGGGGNCCUGAGAGGGNGAUCCCCNACACUGGUACUGAGACACGGACCAGACUCCUACGGGAGGCAGCAGUGAGGAAUAUUGGACAAUGGGCGAAAGCCUGAUCCAGCCAUGCCGCGUGCAGGAUGACUGCCUAUGGGUUGUAAACUGCUUUUAUAUAGGAAGAAAAACUUUCUCGUGAGAAAGCUUGACGGUACUAUAAGAAUAAGGANCGCU
RNAcentral lists this ribosomal RNA (276 nucleotides) under uncultured bacterium. RNAcentral describes it as "partial 16S ribosomal RNA". It matches the Rfam family "Bacterial small subunit ribosomal RNA", at positions 222 to 497 of the family's 1533-position model. The record is from RNAcentral.